AAGACCAAAAAGAAAAAGAAAAAAUGUUCAUUUCCAAGCCACAGAUCGGGGAUCUCAUACAACUUUCUUCCGUUCUUUCUGCCUGCUUCAGUUUCUCCUCUAAAAGGAAGUGGUCUGUGUGUUAGAGAACGGUUUUCCAGUUAGAAAUUUCUAACUUUUUGUAGGAUUUCUAAAAGUAAUUUCAGUCUUGAGAAAUCUAGGAAGAUGGUUAUGCAAAUGGGUAACAGAAAGCAGAAAAUGCCAGUGAGGAUUUUAAAGCCACUACUUCUUGUGGCAGAAGUUCUAUUCCGGGUUUGGUUUUGUAUUUUUCUUAUCUCUUUUCUCGAAACGAGUGUCCCAUUCUUGAUCCUGAAGAACAUUAAGUACAAAAACAUAGCUCUUAGCUUUUCCAGUUUUAAGACAUUAGCAAGUGUCCUGGUGAAACAAGAUGUGGGAUUUCUUUGGGUUGGCUGUUGAGUACCAUCUGCUGCACCCUUGAAUAUUUAGCAAGCACUAUGUGAAGAUGAAAGUCUGCACUUAGGUGCAGUCGUGGUGAACAAGGAAGGUUUUUGUAAUUAGAAAAUAACUUGAAAAAUCAACAGGUGAAUAUUUUCCUCCAAGAUGGAAAUAGCUUUGUGUGUGUGUGUGUGUGUGUGUGUGUGUGUCUGUGUGUGUGUGUGUCUUUUGGGGCUAUGCCCAUGGCAUAUGGAAUUUCCCAGGCUAGGGGUCGAAUCCAAGCUACAGCUGCCAGCCACAGUCACAGCAAUACCAGAUAUGAGCUGCAUUUGUGACCUAUACCAUAGCUCACGGCAACGAUGGAUUUUUAACCCACUGAACAAGGCCAGGGAUCAAACCCAUGUCCUCAUGGAUGCUGGUUGGUUCCUAACCCACUGAGCCAUGACGGGAACUCCUGCAAAUAGCUUUUUGAGUUUAAAGGUAACAUGCUCCUGGAAAGAUCAUAGUGAGUAUUAAAAAGGAAAUUAUUUGUAAUCCUCCCACCCAGGAAAAACCUAAUACUGUAUGUAUUUCUUUCAUCUUUAUACAUAGGCAUUUUUUACAUUUAAAUCUUUACUUCUUUGGGAAUUUGCUUUGUAAGCUGAGGUAUAGGGAUCUUAAUUCUCACCAAAAUAAUCCUGGCUCUCUCAGUACUUAGUGAAUUGUCCAUCCUUUUUCUGCCAAUUUUUAUUAUGCUGUAUAUGCCUAAAUUGUUCAUUUCUGGAGUCUCUUGUUUAGUCCCAUUCCAUCCCAUACUGUUAAUACUAUUUUUAUAAUAUUCUUUCUGAGACUAUUAGGCAAGUCCUCUCGUCAUUACUCUUCUGGGAGGGACUCGUGCAAUUUUUUUUAUGAAUAAAGUUAUUACUUCAUCAAAUUCCAAAAAGUCCUUGGAAUUGUUUAAGUAGGGAAGAAUUCUUAUUUUUCCAUUAAGGCUUCCUUUUGGAGAUAUUACUUCAUUUAUUCAGAUUUUCUUUGCUUCAGUAAAACUGUCAGUUUUCUUGUUUAGAUCCUAUCCUAUAUGCUGCUAAUGGCUCUAACGUAGUCUCAGUAUAAAUUUGGAAAUCCUUCAGGAAAGAGUGAAUUAGCAAAAGUUGUCAAAAUAUUUAUACUUUUGACUCAGUAACACCAUUCGUAAACAAUACGUGUGAGUAAAGAUGGAGUGAGAACUUGACCUUUGGUUAACUCUAGCUGUUUUCCUUGCGAAUGGCAUUAAAAGCAGACUGUACCCUCUGUCCCGGAUGAGAUGUCUCCUGGUUGGCAUUGCAUCUGACAGGCGCAGGCCUGGGUGUCAUGGAACCUGUGGCUCUUGUGCUGGAUGUGUCCCUCCUGGGGAGCUGUGGGAGCUUUCCAAAGAGAUAUGUGCUGCUCUAGGUGAGGCCAUCACCCAAGGAGUAAUGUCUGAGCAGAGGCGUGAACAAAGCGGGUCGGAGCUGUUGCGUGUGGGGAGUGUUGCCCCGGAGCCACCCAGCAUCCAUGCAGGGGUCAUUCCCCCAGACUCUCUGGGGCAGGUGGUCCUGCUGCGCUGUGUGGCCAAGCUCUUGCUGCCAAGGGAGGUGGUUCCCCCUCCUGCUCACAUGCCUUCUCCUUUCUCCUAGUUUGAAGGAUGACCUCUAGGAAGAAAGUGUUGCUGAAGGUUAUCAUCCUGGGAGAUUCUGGAGUUGGUAAGACUUCACUCAUGAACCAGUAUGUGAACAAGAAGUUCAGUAAUCAGUACAAAGCGACAAUAGGAGCAGACUUCCUGACGAAGGAGGUGAUGGUGGAUGACAGACUAGUCACAAUGCAGGUAAGCGCUGGUCUCAGCUUGGCCGGCUGUGCCCAGGUCCUGUAGCCUUGACCCUUUCUCCUGUGCCUGCCUGUUCCCUUCUCUAUUCUUUAGUCAUGGGUAAUUGGCUUAGAGGUAGGGUUGCCAAAUAAAAUAUAAGAAAGAUACCAAGUUAGUCCCCAAAUUUGCAUGAGACAUAGUAAAAUUUUUUCGUUGUUUUUUCCAAAGUUCAGAUUUGUCUGGUCUUUCUGUUUUUUGUUGUUGUUUUGGUUUUCUGUUGUUGUUUUGUGCUAAGUGGCAUCCUGCAGAUUCCUGUCUUAUGUCUCCAAAAAAAAUGCCUAACUCAUCUCUUUCUUAAUAUCCUUGCCUCAUGCUUUAGGCCAAAAAAAUCUUUGUGUCUUUCCUGGGUUCUUACAGCACUCAUUAAAGUAGUUUUCCAACUUUUCUGGUUUCUUAUAAGCUGUCCUAUCUAUAUCCCCCAAAGUUGUGUUAAGCCAAUCUGGUUUUUUCAUAUAUUGGCUUAAUUUGCUUUCAAGGGCCUCCCUUUCAACAGUUAGGAUAAAAACAGAUUCCUUCACAUGGCUCUUUGAAAGCCUUCACAUUCUGGCCACAAAUUCUUCACUUUUUCAUCUCAUCCCAGUCCUUCCCUGUCAUGUGCUGCUCUUACAAAGCUGUCUGUGCGGCUCAGCUUCCAGCAAGGCCCUCUUUUCACAUCUAUACUCAUCCCAGAGUCUCCAACGUUCAGACCAGAUUUUGUUUUGGGAGCUCCUAUCUCCACAGCAGUGUUGCCUCCUUUCUGUGCUGAGAAAAGUGGGUUCUUCUCCAUUGGUGUCGUGGCAAGCCCCAGGCUGGCCAAAAUGUUUGAUUGGCACAGGUCACAGGUGCAAGUUUUUACAUGUGUUGACCUUGAGCUAUGUCAUGCUCUCAGAGAAUGAGGCUUCUUGAUACCUAACCUUACUCCUGUAGGAUGGAGCUGAGGCAGGUCUCCCCGACCCCCCAUUCCCAGUGGUAUUCACUCCUUAACUGGGGGUGGGCAAAAAUAGGUCAAGGGGACUAAGAGGUACAAACAUCCAGUUAUAAAAUGUGCAGUAUAGGGGCUAUAGCCAAUAGUAUUGUAAUAACUUUGUGUCGUUUUAAAAAAAAAUGUUUUCGGGAGUUCCCAUUGAGGCUCAGCAGUAAUGAAUCUGACUGGUAUCCAUAAGAUGUGGGUUUGAUCCCUGGUACUGCUCAGUGGCUUAGAGAUCUGAUGUUGCCACAAGCUGUGGUGUAGGUUGCAGGCAUGGCUUGGAUCUGGCUUUGCUGUGGCAGUGGCGUAGACUGACAUCUGAAGCUCCAAUUGUACCCUUAGCCUGGGAGGUUCCAUAUGCCACAGGUGCAACCCUAAAAAGGGGGAAAAUAUUUUUUUUUUCAACUUAAUUUACAGUGUUGUUAGUUUCAGGUGUACAGCAGAGUGAUUCAGUUACACUUAUACAUAUAUCCAUUCCUUUUCAGAUUCUUUUCCCAUAUAGAUUUUUACAAGUUACUGAGUUUGCUGUGCUAUACAGUAGAUCCUUGUAGAUUAUCUAUUUUGUUUUGUAAAUAGGUUCAUUUGUGUCAUUUUUUUAGAUUCCACAUAUAAGUGAUAUCAUAUGAUAUUUGUCAUUCCCUUUCUGACUUACUUCACUUAGUAUGAUAAUCUCCAGGUCCAUCCAUGUUGCUGUGAAUGGCAUUAUUGCCUUCUUUUUCAUGGCUACAUCAUGUAUAUGUACAUCGUGUAUUACAUUGUGUAUAUAUAUCAUAUCUUUUCUAUCCAUGGCUCUAUUGAUGGACAUUUAGGUUGUUUCCAUGUCUUGGCUAUUGUGAAUAGUGCUGCAGUGAACACAGGAGUGCAUGGAUCUUUCCAGUUACAGUUUUCUCUAGAUACAGGCCCAGGAGUGGGAUUGCUAGAUCAUAUGGCAAUUCUGUGUUUAGUUCCCAUUAUGGCUCAGUGGUAAUGAACCCGACUAGCAUCCAAGAGGAUUCUGGUUCCAUCCCUGGCCUCUUUCAGUGGGUUAAGGAUCUGGCAUUGCUGUGAGCUGUGGUGUAGGUUGCAGACACAGCUCAAAUCCUGUGUUGCUGUGGCUCUGGCGUAGGCUGGCGGCUACAGCUCCAAUUUGACCCCUAGGCUGGGAACCUCCAUAUGCCUCGAGUGUGGCCCUAAAAAGAAAAAAAUCUUGAUACAUAUCUGAUUAGUAAAAUAUUCUAAAGUCAUCUAUAUUUUAGUAAUCUGUGUGUGUGUAACUAAAGUUUAAAUAAGCCAAGUUUGAAAGAAGGAAAUUUGUAGAUAAUAGGAAAGGAGAGAGACCUGAAUGCCAGUGAUAAGCUCAGGCCCCUGCCUUGGUGAUUUGUGGAUUUAAAACAGGGGCUAAGAGGUACUGUUGUAGCGCAGUGGAAACGAAUCUGACUAGGAACCAUGAGGUUGCAGGUUCAAUCCCUGGCCUCACUCAGUGGGUUAAGGAUCUGGUGUUGUGAGCUGUGGUGUAAGUUCCAGAAGCAUCUCGGAUCCUGCGUUGCUGUGGCGUAGGCUGUCAGCUACAGCUCCAAUUAGACCCCUAGCCUGGGAACCUCCAUAUGCUGUGGGUGUGGCUCUAAAACAUAAAUAAAUGAAUAAAUAAAUAAAACAGGAGCUAGAGGGAGUUCCCAUUGUGGCUCAGUGGUAACAAACUCAACUAGUAUCCAUAAGGACGCGAGUUUGAUCCCUGGCCUUGUUCAGUGGGUUAAGGAUCUGACAUUUCUGUGAGCCAUGGUGUAGGUCGCAAAUGUGGCUUGGAUCCCACGUUGCUGUGGCUGUGGUGGAGGCCAGCAGCUAUAGGUCACAUUCAACCCCUAGCCUGGGAUCUUCCAUAUGCCUCAGGUGUGGGCCUAAAAAGACAACAAACAAACAAACAAAGUGGCCUAGAGCGCUGUCAACCAUCAUGAACAAGAGAUGUGAACAGCCCGAGUUGGUGGGGGUGGGUGGUAGAACUGCAAGCCCCCUGGAUGUCAAGACACAUAGUCACCUGGGAGCCUGAAGUAUGACUAAAACCUUAGCCUGAGUAAGUGGCCAAGCUGGUGUGUGAAGUACCGGCUUUGCCGCUUGGUCUCCUGCUUGGAGACUGUGGGUCCCACCGUGCUUGUAUGUGGGCUCCCGCAUUAUACUCUGUAUGUCAUAGGCCUCUGCCAUCCUGGCAGAAAUAAAGAGAAGGCCACUCUGUAGAGAGCUGUACAGCUUCUGGGUAGAGGAUGAGCUCAUAGGCACAUGAGGAAAUAAUGUACUGCAGAAAAUGUUCAUGAUGACUAGCGAUCUCUUCAAAAGGAAUGGAAACUGUAAUGGAAAGGGACACUGUGAAAAAUGAGGAUAUGGAACACUUAGAACUUUUAGGAAGUGAAAAAAGUCAUUGAAAUAAACCAAAGAGUGAAACGGCAGAUUAGACACAGCUGAAGAAAACAGUAAAUUUCAACAUUAAGAGCUGAGCCAAUUACCACAAAGAAAACUCAAAAUUAUGGAGCACCAGAAAUCAGAAUCCUAAGGCAAGUGGAGAGCAAAGACAGAUAAAGGGACAGCAGUCAGACAGAUGAGUUCUCGGCAGCGACAGAAAGCUGAGGGGAUUGGGGUAUGUCUUUGGUGCUGGGUCGAAUGUGGCCUGGAUGGCACGAGUUCUUCCCCCACCCCCCACCCCUGCUGGACAGAGCUACUUCCUGUAGCAGGAGAGCCAGGUGGACCACGGUGGGCUUCUGGUAGCCACGUGGGCAGAGGUAGAAGCGAGACCUGGCCCCGUCUGGCACGGGGCCUUGCUUCUAAAAGACCCCACAUGUACUUCAGGCUGGGACCUCUGGGGAGCCCACGGUGCCAAGCGCAGUCUGGAAAGGGUAUGAAAGACCGUGGUCCUCAGGUUGGAAAGGCUGCCUCUCUCCUUCCACGGCCAGUUUAAAAGACUCAAGUUACAGGAAAACCAUCAUCGCUGACAAAGGCAUCAUCAUCCUAGAUCGUGAGGAAUCCUCACCUGUGUUUCACAGGCUUUUAGCAGCUUGCAAGUAAAAGAUAAUUCAAGUCAGACAGCAAGGCAGGAACCAGUGCAAACCUCCCUGGCAAUUCAGAGUGGGUUUUGUAUUUAAAGAAAUAAAGCAGUCUUAUGUAUCUGCAGAGACAAAACUAAGCAGGUGGCGUGGGUCAGUAGAACUUCUAAAAAUGAAAUGCCCUGACCAGCACUUGUAAAUUUAGAGAAUGUUUUUAGCAGCAGUUGGGCUGCACCAAAAGAGGGCUGAAAGGAGGAGAAUGUUGGGAAAUGGAAAAGAGGCAGAAAGAGGAACUACAUUGCCUCAGUCUCAGACAGGUGGAUAGAUCAAAAAUAAUAUUUGCUGAAAAUUUUCCAGAAUUGAUGUGGCACCAAUCCAUAGAUUCAGGAAGCCCAAAUCCCAAGAAAAAUAAAGAAGUCUAGAAAAAUCAAGAUGAAAUUUUUUUUAAAGAGACAAACUUGGGAAUUCCCUUCAUGGCUCAGUGGUUAACGAACACGACUAGGUAGAAUCUAUGAGGUUGUGGGUUUGAUCCCUGGCCUCCUCAUUCAGUGGGUUGAGGAUCUGAUGUUGCCGUGAGCUGUGG
This 6833-nucleotide long non-coding RNA is filed under the name Sus scrofa (pig). Its description in RNAcentral is "lncRNA (ENSSSCG00060026004.1)". The record is from RNAcentral. Lineage: Eukaryota; Metazoa; Chordata; Mammalia; Artiodactyla; Suidae.